AUCAACUUUCGAUGGUAGGAUAGAGGCCUACCAUGGUGGUAACGGGUAACGGGGUGUUAGGGCACGACACCGGAGAGGGAGCCUGAGAAACGGCUACCACAUCCAAGGAUGGCAGCAGGCGCGCAAAUUACCCAAUCCCGACACGGGGAGGUAGUGACAAUAAAUAACAAUACGGGGUUCUUUCGGAUCUCGUAAUUGGAAUGAGUACAAUUUAAAUCUCUUAACGAGGAACAAUUGGAGGGCAAGUCUGGUGCCAGCAGCCGCGGUAAUUCCAACUCCAAUAGCGUAUAUUAAAGUUGUUGCAGUUAAAAAGCUCGUAGUUGAAUUUCGGGAUCAGAUUGUCGGUCGUGCCUCGGUACGCACUGGCAUUAUUGGUUCCUACCUUCUGAAGAACCGCGAUGUCAUUAAUUUGGUGUCGUGGGGAAUCAGGACUGUUACUUUGAAAAAAUUUAGAGUGUUUAAAGCAGGCGCACGCUUGAAUACAUUAGCAUGGAAUAAUGAAAUUAGGACGUUUGAUUCUAUUUUGUUGGUUUCUAGGAUCGACGUAAUGAUUAAUAGGGAUAGUUGGGGGCAUUAGUAUUCAAUUGUCAGAGGUGAAAUUCUUGGAUUUAUUGAAGACUAACUACUGCGAAAGCAUUUGCCAAGGAUGUUUUCAUUAAUCAAGAACGAAAGUUAGGGGAUCGAAGACGAUCAGGGUACCGUCGUAGUCUUAACCAUAAACUAUGCCGACUAGGGAUCGGAUGAUGUUAAUUUUUUGAAUGACUCAUUUC
This 770-nucleotide ribosomal RNA is filed under the name Glomus sp. Its description in RNAcentral is "SSU rRNA". It matches the Rfam family "Eukaryotic small subunit ribosomal RNA", at positions 314 to 1082 of the family's 1831-position model. Lineage: Eukaryota; Fungi; Glomeromycota; Glomeromycetes; Glomerales; Glomeraceae. The record is from RNAcentral.